GGAGUUUGGGCCGUGUCUCAGUCCCAAUGUGGCCGGUCACCCUCUCAGGUCGGCUACUGAUCGUCGCCUUGGUGGGCCGUUACCCCUCCAACUAGCUAAUCAGACGCGGGUCCAUCCCAUACCGAUAAAAUCUUUUCACACUGUACCAUGCAGUACUGUGCGCUUAUGCGGUAUUAGCAGCCGUUUCCAGCUGUUGUUCCCCUGUAUGGGGCAGGUUACCCACGCGUUACUCACCCGUCCGCCACUGAAAGAAUUCCGAAGAAUUCUUUCCGUUCGACUUGCAUGUGUUAGGCACGCCGCCAGCGUUCAUC
Molecule: ribosomal RNA, 311 nt
Filed under: uncultured Anaerostipes sp.
Lineage: Bacteria; Bacillati; Bacillota; Clostridia; Lachnospirales; Lachnospiraceae
Description: partial 16S ribosomal RNA
Source: RNAcentral